CCUUUUUGGUUUUGGUUAUGUUAUCAAGAAAAGAAGCCUUUGGGGUUCUCUUAUCUCUAAGAUUUAGGCUUUUGAAGAGGAGAAAAGUCAAUGCAUAGAACUUAGUGCCUGUUUCCUUAAUAUAUAGGAAUGCUUGGUACAGAUUUCAGAGCCAAGUUAGUUUUUGUUUUUUUGCUGAGGAAAAAAAGCUCAGCUCUAGCACCGGAAGAUUGAGAAACUAGCUCUAGCCAGAGAAAGAAAAAGAGAAGGUGGAAGAGAAGGAGG
RNAcentral lists this long non-coding RNA (264 nucleotides) under Lupinus angustifolius (narrow-leaved blue lupine). RNAcentral's name for it is "long non-coding RNA (LANG_LNC001131)". Lineage: Eukaryota; Viridiplantae; Streptophyta; Magnoliopsida; Fabales; Fabaceae. The record is from RNAcentral.